CUCAAUUUUUCUGGAUGUUGUAAGCAGGGUUGGCGUAGGUGAACCUGUCAGAUGGCAUACAUUGACGCGCAUACGAUCUGCAUAGGUGGGAAUAACCUUGACUGUUACUUUGAUCAAUGUGAAUUCCAUGUAAGGGUAAGGUGGAGUUCUACUGUGUUUGUCAUUUAAUAUGACUUGCCCCGAAUGUAAACUAUUGUUUACAAAUGUGGUUUGGGCUUUAUGAAAAUUGUGUUCUUGAGCUGGGCAAGAACUAUCAUUUACUUGUUAUUGGUGGCUAAAACAAGAAAUGAACGUCAGUGUACAGUGAAUCACUCGGCUCGCAAAUCGAGGAAGAACGUGGCCAUAUGUGAUAAAUUCUGUGAACUGCAGGACACACAGGAACAGAUAGUCUUUGAACGCAAAUGACAGCUGUGAGGUCAAACUCAUAGCUACAUCCGUCUGAGGUCAAUAGCCAUAGUUAUAUAUGAACAGUGUUAAAGAUUUCAGAUCCGAGUAACGCUGUCAUCGAUAAGUGCAUGAUAAAGUGGGCGAUCAGUGUACGAGAAUAUUGUGAUGAAUUGCUUGCUAAUAUGCACUACAUUUUGAAACAUUGACGAUAACUUUACGUUGCUGGGAAUUGAUAAAGGGUAAAUCUAUCGUCGAAAUUGCAUCAAUGCUGUGGCCUGAGAUCUGGGUGAGAUAACCCGCUGAUUUAAAGCAUAA
Molecule: ribosomal RNA, 702 nt
Filed under: Tenuiproboscis keralensis
Lineage: Eukaryota; Metazoa; Acanthocephala; Palaeacanthocephala; Echinorhynchida; Pomphorhynchidae
Description: eukaryotic LSU rRNA
Rfam family: 5.8S ribosomal RNA (bases 293-447)
Source: RNAcentral